UCGGGAAUUUUGGGCAAUGGAGGGAACUCUGACCCAGCCAUGCCGCGUGCAGGAUGAAGGCGUUAUGCGUUGUAAACUGCUUUUUAUAUAGGAAGAAAUAGUCCUUGCGAGGAAAGUUGACGGUACUAUAUGAAUAAGCACCGGCUAACUCCGUGCCAGCAGCCGCGGUAAUACGGAGGGUGCAAGCGUUGUCCGGAUUUAUUGGGUUUAAAGGGUGCGUAGGCGGUUUAUUAAGUCAGUGGUGAAAGACGGUCGCUCAACGAUUGCAGUGCCAUUGAUACUGGUAGACUUGAGUAUGAUUGAGGUAGCUGGAAUGGAUAGUGUAGCGGUGAAAUGCAUAGAUAUUAUCCAGAACACCAAUUGCGUAGGCAAGUUACUAAGUCAUAACUGACGCUGAGGCACGAAAGUGUGGGUAUCAAACAGGAUUAGAUACCCAGGUAGUCCCUGAGCGGGCUGGCAAGGCGCAU
Molecule: ribosomal RNA, 467 nt
Filed under: uncultured bacterium
Lineage: Bacteria
Description: bacterial SSU rRNA
Rfam family: Bacterial small subunit ribosomal RNA
Source: RNAcentral